This 734-nucleotide ribosomal RNA is filed under the name uncultured Staphylococcus sp. RNAcentral's name for it is "bacterial SSU rRNA". It matches the Rfam family "Bacterial small subunit ribosomal RNA", at positions 59 to 775 of the family's 1533-position model. Lineage: Bacteria; Bacillati; Bacillota; Bacilli; Caryophanales; Staphylococcaceae. The record is from RNAcentral.
AAGUCGAGCGAACGGACGAGAAGCUUGCUUCUCUGAUGUUAGCGGCGGACGGGUGAGUAACACGUGGAUAACCUACCUAUAAGACUGGGAUAACUUCGGGAAACCGGAGCUAAUACCGGAUAAUAUUUUGAACCGCAUGGUUCAAAAGUGAAAGACGGUCUUGCUGUCACUUAUAGAUGGAUCCGCGCUGCAUUAGCUAGUUGGUAAGGUAACGGCUUACCAAGGCAACGAUGCAUAGCCGACCUGAGAGGGUGAUCGGCCACACUGGAACUGAGACACGGUCCAGACUCCUACGGGAGGCAGCAGUAGGGAAUCUUCCGCAAUGGGCGAAAGCCUGACGGAGCAACGCCGCGUGAGUGAUGAAGGUCUUCGGAUCGUAAAACUCUGUUAUUAGGGAAGAACAUAUGUGUAAGUAACUGUGCACAUCUUGACGGUACCUAAUCAGAAAGCCACGGCUAACUACGUGCCAGCAGCCGCGGUAAUACGUAGGUGGCAAGCGUUAUCCGGAAUUAUUGGGCGUAAAGCGCGCGUAGGCGGUUUUUUAAGUCUGAUGUGAAAGCCCACGGCUCAACCGUGGAGGGUCAUUGGAAACUGGAAAACUUGAGUGCAGAAGAGGAAAGUGGAAUUCCAUGUGUAGCGGUGAAAUGCGCAGAGAUAUGGAGGAACACCAGUGGCGAAGGCGACUUUCUGGUCUGUAACUGACGCUGAUGUGCGAAAGCGUGGGGAUCAAACAG